UACGGAGGGUGCAAGCGUUGUUCGGAUUUACUGGGCGUAAAGGGCGCGUAGGCGGCUUGGUAAGUCGGGUGUGAAAUCCUUCCGCUUAACGGAAGAAGUGCACCCGAAACUGCCUUGCUCGAGUUUAGGAGAGGAGAGCGGAAUUCCCGGUGUAGCGGUGAAAUGCGUAGAUAUCGGGAAGAACGCCGGUGGUGAAGACGGUCUCCUGGGCUACACCUGACGCUGAGGCGCGAAAGCUAGGGGAGCGAACGGG
Molecule: ribosomal RNA, 253 nt
Filed under: uncultured bacterium
Lineage: Bacteria
Description: partial 16S ribosomal RNA
Rfam family: Bacterial small subunit ribosomal RNA
Source: RNAcentral